This 497-nucleotide ribosomal RNA is filed under the name uncultured bacterium. RNAcentral's name for it is "partial 16S ribosomal RNA". It matches the Rfam family "Bacterial small subunit ribosomal RNA", at positions 28 to 507 of the family's 1533-position model. The record is from RNAcentral.
GACGAACGCUGGCGGCGUGCCUAAUACAUGCAAGUAGAACGCUGAAGAGAGGAGCUUACUCUUCUUGGAUGAGUUGCGAACGGGUGAGUAACGCGUAGGUAACCUGCCUUAUAGCGGGGGAUAACUAUUGGAAACGAUAGCUAAUACCGCAUAACAAUGGAUGACACAUGUCAUUUAUUUGAAAGGGGCAAUUGCUCCACUACAAGAUGGACCUGCGUUGUAUUAGCUAGUAGGUGAGGUAAUGGCUCACCUAGGCGACGAUACAUAGCCGACCUGAGAGGGUGAUCGGCCACACUGGGACUGAGACACGGCCCAGACUCCUACGGGAGGCAGCAGUAGGGAAUCUUCGGCAAUGGGGGCAACCCUGACCGAGCAACGCCGCGUGAGUGAAGAAGGUUUUCGGAUCGUAAAGCUCUGUUGUAAGUCAAGAACGGGUGUGAGAGUGGAAAGUUCACACUGUGACGGUAGCUUACCAGAAAGGGACGGCUAACUACGUG